ACGCUCGACACCUACGGGAGUCAGCAGUGGGGAAUAUUGCACAAUGGGGGAAACCCUGAUGCAGCGACGCCGCGUGAGCGAAGAAGUAUCUCGGUAUGUAAAGCUCUAUCAGCAGGGAAGAAGAUGACGGUACCUGACUAAGAAGCACCGGCUAAAUACGUGCAAGCAGCCGCGGUAAUCUGAGGCGGGCUGGCAAGGC
This 199-nucleotide ribosomal RNA is filed under the name uncultured bacterium. Its description in RNAcentral is "partial 16S ribosomal RNA". It matches the Rfam family "Bacterial small subunit ribosomal RNA", at positions 328 to 539 of the family's 1533-position model. The record is from RNAcentral.